This 253-nucleotide ribosomal RNA is filed under the name uncultured bacterium. Its description in RNAcentral is "partial 16S ribosomal RNA". It matches the Rfam family "Bacterial small subunit ribosomal RNA", at positions 524 to 776 of the family's 1533-position model. The record is from RNAcentral.
UACGGAGGGAGCUAGCGUUGUUCGGAAUUACUGGGCGUAAAGGGCGCGUAGGCGGCGAGGUAAGUCAGACGUGAAAUCCCCCGGCUUAACCGGGGAAUUGCGUUUGAUACUGCCAUGCUUGAGGCCAGGAGAGGAGAGUGGAAUUCCCAGUGUAGCGGUGAAAUGCGUAGAUAUUGGGAGGAACACCGGUGGCGAAGGCGGCUCUCUGGACUGGUACUGACGCUGAGGCGCGAAAGCUAGGGGAGCAAACAGG